This 205-nucleotide long non-coding RNA is filed under the name Linum usitatissimum (flax). Its description in RNAcentral is "long non-coding RNA (LUSI_LNC005527)". The record is from RNAcentral. Lineage: Eukaryota; Viridiplantae; Streptophyta; Magnoliopsida; Malpighiales; Linaceae.
CCGCAAGGGGCGCGAGUUUAUCCAGUAUUCCAUGUGAGCUGCUUGAAGUUAGCUAGGGGAGAUGAGUACCAGUUCAUUUACCGGAGAUGGAUGAGGCCCGGCCAGAGCCUGUGGCCGUACUUGAUCCACGAGUCCGUCGUGAGAAGGAGGAAGCGUUGGUUCAUUGGUCACACAUGAUUCCAGCGGACGCUACUUGGGAGGAUUG